UCCCUGGUGGUCCAGUGGCUAAGACUUUGCACUCCCAAUGCAGGGGGCCCAGGGUUCGAUCCCUGCUCAGGGAA
Non-coding RNA from Bos taurus (domestic cattle), 74 nucleotides. Lineage: Eukaryota; Metazoa; Chordata; Mammalia; Artiodactyla; Bovidae. The record is from Rfam.